UUCAACGGCCGCGGUAUCCUAACCGUGCAAAGGUAGCAUAAUCACUUGCCUAUUAAUUGUAGGCUAGAAUGAACGGGUAAACGAAAUAAAAACUGUCUCUAUCAAUAAUCUAAAAAUUAAUUUCUACAUGAAGAAGUGUAGAUACUAUCGAAGGACAAGAAGACCCUAUAGAGCUUUAUUAUAAGGCAAAUGUAUAUUGUCCUAAAAUUCGGUUGGGGCGACCUAGGGAAAUUUAAUAUCACCCUAAUAAAUAAAGAUAAAUAUAUCUAAUA
RNAcentral lists this ribosomal RNA (272 nucleotides) under Diplocardia sylvicola. RNAcentral describes it as "partial 16S ribosomal RNA". It matches the Rfam family "Bacterial large subunit ribosomal RNA", at positions 1923 to 2348 of the family's 2925-position model. Lineage: Eukaryota; Metazoa; Annelida; Clitellata; Crassiclitellata; Megascolecidae. The record is from RNAcentral.